UUAAAGUUGUGCAGUAAAAAGCUCGUAGUGAAACUUGGGUGUGUAGGGGCGGUCUCUUUUAGAGUACUACCCUGAAACAUCUUUCUUUGGUGUAAACUCUUUAUUCACUUAAGGAGUGUAAACCAAACAUUUACUUUGAAAAAAUUAGAGUGUUCAAAGCAGGCCUUUGCUCGAAUAUAUUAGCAUGGAAUAAUAGAAUAGGACGUAUGGUUCUAUUUUGUUGGUUUCUAGGACCGUCGUAAUGAUUAAUAGGGACGGUCGGGGGCAUCAGUAUUCAGUUGUCAGAGGUGAAAUUCUUGGAUUUACUGAAGACUAACUACUGCGAAAGCAUUUGCCAAGGACGUUUUCAUUAAUCAAGAACGAAAGUUAGGGGAUCGAAGACGAUCAGAUACCGUCGUAGUCUUAACCGUAAACUAUGCCGACUAGGGAUCGGAGGGCGUUAUAAUAACCUCUCCGGCACCUUACGAGAAAUCAAAGUUUUUGGGUUCUGGGGGGAGUAUGGUUGCAAGGCUGAAACUUAAAGGAAUUGACGGAAGGGCACCACCAGGAGUGGAGCCUGCGGCUUAAUUUGACUCAACACGGGGAAACUCACCAGGUCCAGACACAAUAAGGAUUGACAGAUUGAGAGCUCUUUCAUGAUUUUGUGGGUGGUGGUGCAUGGCCGUUCUUAGUUGGUGGAGUGAUUUGUCUGCUUAAUUGCGAUAACGAACGAGACCUUAACCUGCUAAAUAGCUGUAACAAUAGAUUAUUGUUUUGACAGCUUCUUAGAGGGACUAUCGAUUUUCAAGUCGAUGGAAGUUUGAGGCAAUAACAGGUCUGUGAUGCCCUUAGACGUUCUGGGCCGCACGCGCGCUACACUGACGGAGCCAGCGAGUCUAACCUGUGCCGAGAGGUAUGGGUAAUCUUGUGAAACUCCGUCGUGCUGGGGAUAGAGCAUUGCAAUUAUUGCUCUUCAACGAGGAAUUCCUAGUAAGCGCAAGUCAUCAGCUUGCGUUGAUUACGUCCCUGCCCUUUGUACACACCGCCCGUCGCUACUACCGAUUGAAUGGCUUAGUGAGGCUUCCGGAUUGAUUAACUGGAGAGGGCAACUUUUCUGGUUGAACGAGAAGCUAGUCAAACU
This 1120-nucleotide ribosomal RNA is filed under the name Geotrichum candidum. RNAcentral's name for it is "SSU rRNA". It matches the Rfam family "Eukaryotic small subunit ribosomal RNA", at positions 604 to 1765 of the family's 1831-position model. Lineage: Eukaryota; Fungi; Ascomycota; Dipodascomycetes; Dipodascales; Dipodascaceae. The record is from RNAcentral.